RNAcentral lists this ribosomal RNA (482 nucleotides) under uncultured bacterium. Its description in RNAcentral is "partial 16S ribosomal RNA". It matches the Rfam family "Bacterial small subunit ribosomal RNA", at positions 30 to 507 of the family's 1533-position model. The record is from RNAcentral.
AUUGAACGCUGGCGGCAUGCCUUACACAUGCAAAUCGAACGGUAACGGGCCUUCGGGUGCCGACGAGUGGCGAACGGGUGAGUAAUACAUCGGAACGUGCCCGAUCGUGGGGGAUAACGAGGCGAAAGCUUUGCUAAUACCGCAUACGAUCUACGGAUGAAAGCAGGGGACCGCAAGGCCUUGCGCGGACGGAGCGGCCGAUGGCAGAUUAGGUAGUUGGUGGGAUAAAAGCUUACCAAGCCGACGAUCUGUAGCUGGUCUGAGAGGAUGAUCAGCCACACUGGGACUGAGACACGGCCCAGACUCCUACGGGAGGCAGCAGUGGGGAAUUUUGGACAAAGGGCGCAAGCCUGAUCCAGCCAUGCCGCGUGCAGGAUGAAGGCCUUCGGGUUGUAAACUGAUUUUGUACGGAACGAAAAGCCUUCUUUUAAUACAGGAGGGUCAUGACGGUACCGUAAGAAUAAGCACCGGCUAACUACGUG